CGAGACGGGAUGGAAUGACCCUUCGGGGGAAUGAAAUCCUAGAAAGUGGCGAACGGGUGAGUAACGCGUGGGUAACCUGCCCUAUGGAAAGGAAUAGCCUCGGGAAACUGGGAGUAAUGCCUUAUAAUAUACGAGAGUCGCAUGGCUUUUGUAUUAAACGCUCCGGUGCCAUAGGAUGGACCCGCGUCCCAUUAGCUAGUUGGUGAGAUAACAGCCCACCAAGGCGACGAUGGGUAACCGGUCUGAGAGGGCGAACGGUCACACUGGAACUGAGACACGGUCCAGACUCCUACGGGAGGCAGCAGUGGGGAAUAUUGCGCAAUGGGGGCAACCCUGACGCAGCAAUACCGCGUGAGUGAAGAAGGUUUUCGGAUCGUAAAGCUCUGUUAUUGGGGAAGAAAAAAGACGGUACCCAAGAAGAAAGUCCCGGCUAACUACGUGCCAGCAGCCGCGGUAAUACGUAGGGGACAAGCGUUGUCCGGAUUUACUGGGCGUAAAGGGCACGC
Molecule: ribosomal RNA, 506 nt
Filed under: uncultured Acetobacterium sp.
Lineage: Bacteria; Bacillati; Bacillota; Clostridia; Eubacteriales; Eubacteriaceae
Description: bacterial SSU rRNA
Rfam family: Bacterial small subunit ribosomal RNA
Source: RNAcentral